ACCCUGGUUCCCUUUCCCAUGGCAUCUGAACAGCCAUCCUGGUUGUCGUAAAAGGAGGACUGGUUACACUGAAGCUGUCCUCACGGGGCUUGUAGUCUGCUUUACAGCAGGUGGGCUAGUUUCAAACAAGG
This is a small nucleolar RNA of Hippopotamus amphibius kiboko, 131 nucleotides long. RefSeq annotates it as small nucleolar RNA SNORA61. The transcript has a single exon. The record is from RefSeq and is a predicted model, not a curated record. Lineage: Eukaryota; Metazoa; Chordata; Mammalia; Artiodactyla; Hippopotamidae.